UUUGGGUUUCAUUCGAAGAAGCGCAAGCCGAACAAGGAAGCAUUCGUUGGUGCCAUUUUGAUUUUGUCGUUUGCGCGUUGUCUCGAUCGUUUUGUGUGUUUGUGUGAGACUAACGUGUGUAUUGAUAUGGAACGAAAUAAAUUCCAGUUUGAUUACCACUUGAUUCUUGUAGCUUUUGGUGAAAGGACAAAAUAUGAAGAAGCGACAGAUGCCGAAAUAAUACAAAGUGUUACCCAUACGGAUAUGGUUUGAUGACUUCAGAUGGUGGACGGAAUAAAAAGAUUGCCAGUAGCCAACGACAAUAUCCGUUUCAA
Long non-coding RNA from Coccinella septempunctata (seven-spotted ladybird), 314 nucleotides. RefSeq lists it as uncharacterized. The transcript is spliced from 3 exons. The record is from RefSeq and is a predicted model, not a curated record. Lineage: Eukaryota; Metazoa; Arthropoda; Insecta; Coleoptera; Coccinellidae.